GGUCAGGGGAGGGAGGCCAGCGGGCCGGCGGGGUCCGCCCCGACCCCAUCCACGACCCCGACUCCUAUCCGAUCCUAUCCCCGGCCCCGCUCGGGCCUUUCCCCUUGCGCCCUGGCUCGGCUGGCUCGACGAGCAGUAAGUUCGUAGCCGCCCUCCGAAGCCGGGCGUGCAUGGGAUGGCAGAGUUGGCGUGCGUGCGUGAGUCCACCAGUGUGGCAUGGGCAUGUAAGGUGCGCGGAGGGACUGCACCUUCUCCAUCAGGUGCAGAAGGCCACAUCAUGCUGAACAAGAGCCGAGAAGUAGAAUCGCCAGUGUCAAGCCGUCCACGUUGUGGGAUGCCCACUGUUCCCCCAGGAUCACUCAAGACCCUGUGACUUGUGGUCACUGAUGAGUGGACCAAGUGAAGUCCACAAGAUGGCUGCUGUGGCUCCAGGCAUCACGUCCACAUGCAAAUCCAUCCAGAGGCAGGAACUGGGAAUAGGCUUGGAGGUGGCCAGGACAGCAAGUGGGCUGUCUGUAUAAACCUCCCCUCCACUUGGGAAGGAAAAUCACCCCCCAAGUCGAUUUUCUGUCCAUCUUAUUGAUCAGAGAGCGUUAUAAAUUCACCCAUUAAAUAAUCUGGACAAGGGGAGCGUGCAUGUUGUCCUUGGUUUAGACUGGUUAUGAUUUAUGCCCUGAAAUUGGACAUAUUGCCAAGCAAGCGAAAUUGAGAUUCCAUCAGCCAGGAAGAAGGGGUAAGGAUGAUGAAUAUUGGGUAGGCACAUGAUAGGGGUUGUCACAAGUUUUAAGAUGCUUUCAAUUAGUAAAUAACUGUCAAGAUUACCUUUUGUUUUCACCUGCCCAGUCUCCAUUGUGCCUCCUUCAGAAACACACACUGGGUUUUCUUUGGGUGUGAAGGGGCCUCUGUGUCCAUCAUUCCAGUGUGAGCACAUGAUCUGAGCCCGGUCAGUGAGGUUUAAUUUCAGGACUUUGGUUGGAACUCUUGGGAAAGACAAGUUCUCCCUGACCUGGGGUGUUUGAAAAGAUAACAUGCUAGCCUGGAAUUGUUGGGGGCUAUUUUACCUGCCUACCUACCUGAAUGAAUGAAUGGUUGACUGAAUUAAGCUGACACAAAGGGGUGGUAGAGGGAUGAGGAGAGGAGAACAGAGGGAUGGUGAGAAACUUGGUCCAAAUGAAAUUGCUUGAGACCGGUAUGCAGCUGUGACAGAUGAUUCAGUUACAUGACAUAAUAAAUCUUUCCCUCAUCCCCCACCUUAUUUUUUUCUUUUGUAUGUAAGUUAGUUUGAGUUGCAAAAGAUUACUGACAGGAAUGGUACCUAGCAAUGGAGUGUUACAAGUAAUAGACCCUAAAAUGUGGAUUGGCAAAUUGCAGGUAGAAUGGAA
RNAcentral lists this long non-coding RNA (1382 nucleotides) under Homo sapiens (human). RNAcentral's name for it is "non-protein coding lnc-CNIH3-2:18". The record is from RNAcentral. Lineage: Eukaryota; Metazoa; Chordata; Mammalia; Primates; Hominidae.